This 806-nucleotide ribosomal RNA is filed under the name Salmonella enterica. Its description in RNAcentral is "partial 23S ribosomal RNA". It matches the Rfam family "Bacterial large subunit ribosomal RNA", at positions 2128 to 2925 of the family's 2925-position model. The record is from RNAcentral. Lineage: Bacteria; Pseudomonadati; Pseudomonadota; Gammaproteobacteria; Enterobacterales; Enterobacteriaceae.
GCCUUGAUGUGUAGGAUAGGUGGGAGGCUUUGAAGUGUGGACGCCAGUCUGCAUGGAGCCGGCCUUGAAAUACCACCCUUUAAUGUUUGAUGUUCUAACGUGGACCCGUGAUCCGGGUUGCGGACAGUGUCUGGUGGGUAGUUUGACUGGGGCGGUCUCCUCCUAAAGAGUAACGGAGGAGCACGAAGGUUGGCUAAUCCUGGUCGGACAUCAGGAGGUUAGUGCAAUGGCAUAAGCCAGCUUGACUGCGAGCGUGACGGCGCGAGCAGGUGCGAAAGCAGGUCAUAGUGAUCCGGUGGUUCUGAAUGGAAGGGCCAUCGCUCAACGGAUAAAAGGUACUCCGGGGAUAACAGGCUGAUACCGCCCAAGAGUUCAUAUCGACGGCGGUGUUUGGCACCUCGAUGUCGGCUCAUCACAUCCUGGGGCUGAAGUAGGUCCCAAGGGUAUGGCUGUUCGCCAUUUAAAGUGGUACGCGAGCUGGGUUUAGAACGUCGUGAGACAGUUCGGUCCCUAUCUGCCGUGGGCGCUGGAGAACUGAGGGGGGCUGCUCCUAGUACGAGAGGACCGGAGUGGACGCAUCACUGGUGUUCGGGUUGUCAUGCCAAUGGCACUGCCCGGUAGCUAAAUGCGGAAGAGAUAAGUGCUGAAAGCAUCUAAGCACGAAACUUGCCCCGAGAUGAGUUCUCCCUGAGACUUUAGGUCUCCUGAAGGAACGUUGAAGACGACGACGUUGAUAGGCCGGGUGUGUAAGCGCAGCGAUGCGUUGAGCUAACCGGUACUAAUGAACCGUGAGGCUUAACCUUACA